This 511-nucleotide ribosomal RNA is filed under the name uncultured eukaryote. RNAcentral describes it as "SSU rRNA". It matches the Rfam family "Eukaryotic small subunit ribosomal RNA", at positions 222 to 760 of the family's 1831-position model. The record is from RNAcentral.
CCAUUUCCUACGGGAGUGUGAUGAAUCAUAAUAAUUGAACGAAUCGCAGAGUUCUGCGAUAAAUCAUUCAAGUUUCUGCCCUAUCAGCUUUGGAUGGUAGUGUAUUGGACUACCAUGGCAGUCACGGGUAACGGAGAAUUAGGGUUCGAUUCCGGAGAGGGAGCCUGAGAAACGGCUACCACAUCUACGGAAGGCAGCAGGCGCGCAAAUUGCCCAAUCCCGACACGGGGAGGCAGUGACAAGAAAUAACAACUCUUGGAUUUCUAAGAAGUGUAAUGAGGAUAAUUUACAACCCUUACCGAAAGCAAUUGGAGGGCAAGUCUGGUGCCAGCAGCCGCGGUAAUUCCAGCUCCAAUAGCGUAUAUUAAAGUUGUUGCAGUUAAAAAGCUCGUAGUUGAAGUUCUGAUUGUUCGGGCCUCGCGCUUUAUAGCCGAGGAACCGACAGUCAUCCGCUUGCAAAUAUAUGUUCGCCUUUAACCGGGUGGCUAUAUGAGUAAGCAAUUUACCUUGA